GGGGGCUGGGCCUGGAGACCUGGUUUCGAGGGGCGCUCGCCCGGAACUGAGCCGCGUACGCCCGCCCGGGGGUCGGGUCUGGAACCUGCCCUCGGCGUGCUCGCUCUCUCUUUCACCACCCCAUUCCCCUCUCCCCCAUUUUUGUCUCUGUCUCCCACUCCGCACAGGUACCGAGAACUUUCUGGGCUGUAACGUCCCCGACCUCGCUGAUGGCGUUGCCUGGGCUUUGCAAAUAUGCGGAGGAGACUCACGGGGCAUCUGGGCCUCAGCACUGAGUAUGUGAGGGAGUGCCUAACAUUUCAUUAGUAAAUACACCCAGACAACUGCUUCUAUGGCCUCAAACUGGCCCUCCGCGGGCCGGGGUGGGCCUGGAUUCCGCACGGGGGCGAAAUUGUGGCCUUGUUCCCGGUGGCCUUCGGCUUCGCUCUUUGGGCUGCCUCGGAACCAAGCGCGACCUGCCCUUUUCCGCGCUCUUAUUCCAAAUCGACAGGCCCAAACGGCCACCGCCUGAGCCCAGUAGAGCCCAGAUUGAGGGGUGGUUGAAGUGUCUGAGGGGAAAGGGCUGCCUGCGGGACCCCAGGCCCUGCUACCCUAAAUGCCAGGUUCAGCGUCGGGCGAAGGCUCCUUCUCCGCACUGUAUCCGAGAGAACCCCCAAGGCGCGGCAGUGCUGGCCGUCUG
RNAcentral lists this long non-coding RNA (679 nucleotides) under Equus caballus (horse). RNAcentral describes it as "lncRNA (ENSECAG00000057981.1)". Lineage: Eukaryota; Metazoa; Chordata; Mammalia; Perissodactyla; Equidae. The record is from RNAcentral.